GAAGGAGAAGGAGUAGAA
Molecule: small RNA, 18 nt
Filed under: Arabidopsis thaliana (thale cress)
Lineage: Eukaryota; Viridiplantae; Streptophyta; Magnoliopsida; Brassicales; Brassicaceae
Description: ATSL127490
Source: RNAcentral